Molecule: ribosomal RNA, 429 nt
Filed under: Chloroflexota bacterium
Lineage: Bacteria; Bacillati; Chloroflexota
Description: Chloroflexi bacterium partial 16S ribosomal RNA
Rfam family: Bacterial small subunit ribosomal RNA
Source: RNAcentral
UGGGGAAUAUUGCACAAUGGGCGCAAGCCUGAUGCAGCCAUGCCGCGUGUGUGAAGAAGGCCUUCGGGUUGUAAAGCACUUUCAGCGGGGAGGAAGGCGUUUAGGUUAAUAACCUUGGCGAUUGACGUUACCCGCAGAAGAAGCACCGGCUAACUCCGUGCCAGCAGCCGCGGUAAUACGGAGGGUGCAAGCGUUAAUCGGAAUUACUGGGCGUAAAGCGCACGCAGGCGGUCUGUCAAGUCGGAUGUGAAAUCCCCGGGCUCAACCUGGGAACUGCAUUCGAAACUGGCAGGCUAGAGUCUUGUAGAGGGGGGUAGAAUUCCAGGUGUAGCGGUGAAAUGCGUAGAGAUCUGGAGGAAUACCGGUGGCGAAGGCGGCCCCCUGGACAAAGACUGACGCUCAGGUGCGAAAGCGUGGGGAGCAAACAGG